RNAcentral lists this small nucleolar RNA (98 nucleotides) under Camelus dromedarius (Arabian camel). RNAcentral describes it as "Small nucleolar RNA SNORA71 (ENSCDRG00005007516.1)". It matches the Rfam family "Small nucleolar RNA SNORA71", at positions 36 to 134 of the family's 134-position model. From Rfam's summary of the family: The members of this family belong to the H/ACA class of snoRNAs which bind a number of proteins (including dyskerin, Gar1p and Nop10p) to form snoRNP complexes. This class of snoRNAs are thought to guide the sites of modification of uridines to pseudouridines by forming direct base pairing interactions with substrate RNAs. The record is from RNAcentral. Lineage: Eukaryota; Metazoa; Chordata; Mammalia; Artiodactyla; Camelidae.
UCCAGUUGUUGAUGUGCGGGGAGAGGAAUUGUGGAAGACAGUUUCCCAUGUUUGGAGGGUCCACACCUGUCCCUUUCAAAUGCUGGCACUUUCACACA